CGGGUGAGUAACACGUGGAUAAUCUGCCCUUAGGUCUGGGACAACUCGGGGAAACCCGAGCUAAUACCGGAUAAGACCACAGUACGAGAGUACAGUGGGAAAAGUGGGGGACCCUUUCGGGGGCCUCAUGCCAAAGGAUGAGUCCGCGGUCCAUCAGCUUGUUGGCGGGGUAAAGGCCCACCAAGGCUAAGACGGAUAGCUGGUCUGAGAGGAUGAUCAGUCACACUGGAACUGAGAUACGGUCCAG
This 247-nucleotide ribosomal RNA is filed under the name uncultured bacterium. RNAcentral describes it as "partial 16S ribosomal RNA". It matches the Rfam family "Bacterial small subunit ribosomal RNA", at positions 103 to 334 of the family's 1533-position model. The record is from RNAcentral.